RNAcentral lists this ribosomal RNA (398 nucleotides) under uncultured ammonia-oxidizing bacterium DGGE-AG-TF-C. RNAcentral's name for it is "bacterial SSU rRNA". It matches the Rfam family "Bacterial small subunit ribosomal RNA", at positions 232 to 622 of the family's 1533-position model. Lineage: Bacteria; Pseudomonadati; Pseudomonadota; Betaproteobacteria; Nitrosomonadales; Nitrosomonadaceae. The record is from RNAcentral. RNAcentral also lists the same sequence under 1 other name.
GAUGUCUGAUUAGCUAGUUGGUGAGGUAAAGGCUUACCAAGGCUACGAUCAGUAGCUGGUCUGAGAGGACGACCAGCCACACUGGGACUGAGACACGGCCCAGACUCCUACGGGAGGCAGCAGUGGGGAAUUUUGGACAAUGGGGGAAACCCUGAUCCAGCCAUGCCGCGUGAGUGAAGAAGGCCUUCGGGUUGUAAAGCUCUUUCAGCCGGAACGAAACGGUCACGGUUAAUACCYGUGACUACUGACGGUACCGGAAGAAGAAGCACCGGCUAACUACGUGCCAGCAGCCGCGGUAAUACGUAGGGUGCGAGCGUUAAUCGGAAUUACUGGGCGUAAAGCGUGCGCAGGCGGUUUUGUAAGUCAGAUGUGAAAUCCCCGGGCUUAACCUGGGAACU